This 482-nucleotide ribosomal RNA is filed under the name uncultured bacterium. RNAcentral's name for it is "bacterial SSU rRNA". It matches the Rfam family "Bacterial small subunit ribosomal RNA", at positions 28 to 507 of the family's 1533-position model. The record is from RNAcentral.
GAUGAACGCUAGCGGCAGGCUUAACACAUGCAAGUCGAGGGGUAUAGGUUUUCGGACCUAGAGACCGGCGCACGGGUGCGUAACGCGUAUGCAAUCUACCUUUCACAAAGGGAUAGCCCAGAGAAAUUUGGAUUAAUACCUUAUAGUAAUACGACUUGGCAUCAAGAUGUAUUUAAAGAUUUAUCGGUGAAAGAUGAGCAUGCGUCCCAUUAGCUUGUUGGUAAGGUAACGGCUUACCAAGGCAACGAUGGGUAGGGGUCCUGAGAGGGAGAUCCCCCACACUGGUACUGAGACACGGACCAGACUCCUACGGGAGGCAGCAGUGAGGAAUAUUGGACAAUGGGCGCAAGCCUGAUCCAGCCAUGCCGCGUGCAGGAAGAAGGCCUUCGGGUUGUAAACGUGCUUUGUACGGAGCGAAAGGUCUUCCCUAACUACGGAGGCGUGAUGACGGUACCGUAAGAAUAAGCACCGGCUACUACGUG